AUAGUGGUAGUUUAAAAAAAACAAUGAACUGUGGAUUCAUAAAUUCAUAUUAUGACCUCUACC
RNAcentral lists this transfer RNA (63 nucleotides) under Hediste diversicolor. RNAcentral describes it as "tRNA-His". The record is from RNAcentral. Lineage: Eukaryota; Metazoa; Annelida; Polychaeta; Phyllodocida; Nereididae.